CCUACGGGCGUCAGCAGUGAGGAAUAUUGGUCAAUGGACGAGAGUCUGAACCAGCCAAGUCGCGUGAAGGAUGACUGCCCUAUGGGUUGUAAACUUCUUUUAUCUGGGAAUAAAGUGUUCCACGUGUGGGAUUUUGUAUGUACCAUAUGAAUAAGCAUCGGCUAACUCCGUGCCAGCAGCCGCGGUAAUACGGAGGAUCCGAGCGUUAUCCGGAUUUGUUGGGGUUAAAGGGAGCGUAGGGGGAUUGUUCAGUCAGUUGUGAAAGUGUGGGGCUCAACCGUAACCUAGCAGUUGAUACUGGCAGUAUUGAGUACAGUAGAGGUGGGCGGAAUGCGUGGUGUAGCGGUGAAAUGCUUAGAUAUCACGAAGAACUCCGAUUGCGAAGGCAGCUCACUGGACUGCAAAUGACACUGAGGCUCGAAAGUGUGGGUAUCAAACAGGAUUAGAUACCCGAGUAGUC
This 460-nucleotide ribosomal RNA is filed under the name uncultured bacterium. RNAcentral's name for it is "partial 16S ribosomal RNA". It matches the Rfam family "Bacterial small subunit ribosomal RNA", at positions 338 to 795 of the family's 1533-position model. The record is from RNAcentral.